This 440-nucleotide ribosomal RNA is filed under the name uncultured bacterium. RNAcentral's name for it is "partial 16S ribosomal RNA". It matches the Rfam family "Bacterial small subunit ribosomal RNA", at positions 338 to 795 of the family's 1533-position model. The record is from RNAcentral.
CCUACGGGAGGCAGCAGUGGGGAAUAUUGCACAAUGGGGGAAACCCUGAUGCAGCGACGCCGCGUGAGUGAAGAAGUAUUUCGGUACGUAAAGCUCUAUCAGCAGGGAAGAAAAUGACGGUACCUGACUAAGAAGCACCGGCUAACUACGUGCCAGCAGCCGCGGUAAUACGUAGGGGGCAAGCGUUAUCCGGAUUUACUGGGUGUAAAGGGAGCGUAGACGGCAGCGCAAGUCUGGAGUGAAAUCCCAUGGCUUAACCAUGGAACUGCUUUGGAAACUGUGCAGCUAGAGUGCAGGAGAGGUAAGCGGAAUUCCUAGUGUAGCGGUGAAAUGCGUAGAUAUUAGGAGGAACACCAGUGGCGAAGGCGGCUUACUGGACUGUAACUGACGUUGAGGCUCGAAAGCGUGGGGAGCAAACAGGAUUAGAUACCCGAGUAGUC